GACCGAAUCCUUGAAUGGCCUACUCCAUUAAGUUGUUUUAAACCUUUACUGUAUCUGUGUGAUAAAGUAAAACAAUCACUGGAGUGCAUCUUUAAGUGAGAUCCAUCACUCCUCUAGUCACUUACACACAUUAUGUCAGGUAGAGUGUAGAUGUUAGUUCAGGUAGAGUGUAGAUGUUAGUCCAGGCAGAGUGUAGAUGUUAGUUCAGGCAGAGUGUAGAUGUUAGUCCAGGCAGAGUGUAGAUGUUAGUUCAGGCAGAGUGUAGAUGUUAGUCCAGGCAGAGUGUAGAUUAAGGACAGUAGAUGGACACCCAACCCACACAUACACACAUGUUUUAAGUGAUGUCACAUCCUGCCACUAAUGAAGGACUUCUGAGGUAUGUAGCACAUUGAGGGAAAAUUCCCCACAUUCUUCCCCCCACAGAGUACUUGUAGAGAAGAGACAUGGGUUAAGGUCAAUGCAAGGUUAACAGGCUAAGUGGCUAAUAUGCUUUGAGAAUACAAUACAGGCCGUAAUCAAUCUGAGGCAUCCAUUGUUAUGGUCUGUAGAAUGUUUAGAAUGUUGUCAGUCUAUGGAGACCAGUAUAAUUGACUGUAGCCGUGAGAGCUGACCGGCUCUGUAUGUGUAUGUGUGUGUGUGUAUGUGUGUGUGUGU
Molecule: long non-coding RNA, 654 nt
Filed under: Salmo salar (Atlantic salmon)
Lineage: Eukaryota; Metazoa; Chordata; Actinopteri; Salmoniformes; Salmonidae
Description: lncRNA (ENSSSAG00000102366.1)
Source: RNAcentral